Molecule: microRNA, 25 nt
Filed under: Canis lupus familiaris (dog)
Lineage: Eukaryota; Metazoa; Chordata; Mammalia; Carnivora; Canidae
Description: cfa-miR-8883
Source: miRBase by way of RNAcentral
UCUGGGUGAGGAUUCGCAGGACUUU